This is a long non-coding RNA of Aegilops tauschii subsp. strangulata, 969 nucleotides long. RefSeq lists it as uncharacterized. The record is from RefSeq and is a predicted model, not a curated record. NCBI's taxonomy places the organism in Eukaryota, Viridiplantae, Streptophyta, Magnoliopsida, Poales, Poaceae.
GAGCCCCGCCCGACCACUCCACCGAGCACGAGGAGCUCCCGUUCCCCUCCAUUGCCGCCAUGGCCGUCGGCAUCCUCCUCCUAAAUCCGCUCAAUGCAGAGCUCCCCUCCACCUCCUUCCCCCACCAUAAGGCCACCCGGAGCCCUGCGGGUCUCCCCAUACCCCCAGCCCCUCGUCUACGCCAUGAUAGCCACCCUCUCAUCGCCUUAGUCACCACUGUCCGCCGUGGGAGUCACGGCCCCGCACUCUCUGCUGCUUACCGGCGGUAGUGGACCCUUAGGCGGGAGCGUCUCAUCGCCCUCGUCACUCAAGUGGCCGGAGCGCCGCCUGAGGUGGCCGGUGGCGCCGGGACGGGCGCCGGCCGUGCUCACCUGAGCCCUCUGCCGCUACUUGUCGAGAGGAAGAAGACACCGCGAGGAGAGACGGAGCAGCCCCGAUGAGACCUGCCUGUCAGUUUCUCACCGUUGACCAGCCCCGGGCCCGCGCCAAGUUAAGUGGAGACGUACUCCUCGUAGUACGGUUUCCCUUACCGAAAACGUCUUUUGGUCUUUUCUCCAAGUCAAAAUACGUUUUCUUCUCCGGAAAGUGUAUUUCCUUUGUACUACGGCUGAAAAUGCGUUUUCUCUGCUUUGAAGGCGUAUUCCACUAAAUGUGUUUUCUGUUUUUCAGUCAGGGGCCUGUUUGUGAAGUUUCUUUUACAGAUUGGUCCCUAGUGUUCAAACGUCUAUAGCUCCGCGACCGUGACUCCGAUUCAGCCCCCUUCGAGAGAGAAGUGUUUCCGACGAUUCUUUCCGCAGCUUCACCACACUUCUUCCCGGUGUACCCUUCCUCUUCAGGCAAGCCACGACAGCCACUUGCAUGAUGGCCAUGCAAUAGCCAUGGUUUUCAACUUGAAUAUUUAAAUAUUGUGUGCAUGUUAAUAUUCUUGUGAACACUUUAUAUGCUUGUGAAUUGGUACAUACUUUGAUA